GACGAACGCUGGCGGCGUGCUUAACACAUGCAAGUCGAACGGAAAGGCCCUGCUUUUGUGGGGUGCUCGAGUGGCGAACGGGUGAGUAACACGUGAGUAACCUGCCCUUGACUUUGGGAUAACUUCAGGAAACUGGGGCUAAUACCGGAUAGGAGCUCCUGCUGCAUGGUGGGGGUUGGAAAGUUUCGGCGGUUGGGGAUGGACUCGCGGCUUAUCAGCUUGUUGGUGGGGUAGUGGCCUACCAAGGCUUUGACGGGUAGCCGGCCUGAGAGGGUGACCGGCCACAUUGGGACUGAGAUACGGCCCAGACUCCUACGGGAGGCAGCAGUGGGGAAUAUUGCACAAUGGGCGGAAGCCUGAUGCAGCAACGCCGCGUGCGGGAUGACGGCCUUCGGGUUGUAAACCGCUUUCGCCUGUGACGAAGCGUGAGUGACGGUAAUGGGUAAAGAAGCACCGGCUAACUACG
Molecule: ribosomal RNA, 466 nt
Filed under: uncultured bacterium
Lineage: Bacteria
Description: partial 16S ribosomal RNA
Rfam family: Bacterial small subunit ribosomal RNA
Source: RNAcentral